This 210-nucleotide ribosomal RNA is filed under the name uncultured bacterium. RNAcentral describes it as "partial 16S ribosomal RNA". It matches the Rfam family "Bacterial small subunit ribosomal RNA", at positions 281 to 488 of the family's 1533-position model. The record is from RNAcentral.
AGGUAGGGGUCCUGAGAGGGAGAUCCCCCACACUGGUACUGAGACACGGACCAGACUCCUACGGGAGGCAGCAGUGAGGAAUAUUGGACAAUGGAGGCAAGUGUGAUCCAGCCAUGCCGCGUGCAGGAAGACNGGCCUGCGGGUUGUAAACUGCUUUUAUACAGGAAGAAACGCCGCUACGUGUAGCGGUUUGACGGUACUGUAGAAUAA